UACGGAAGGUCCGGGCGUUAUCCGGAUUUAUUGGGUUUAAAGGGCGUGCAGCCGGAGAGACAAGUCAGAUGUGAAAUCCACAGGCUCAACCUGUGAACUGCAUUUGAAACUGUUUCCCUUGAGUAUCGGAGAGGUCAUCGGAAUUCCUAGUGUAGCGGUGAAAUGCGUAGAUAUUAGGAAGAACACCAGUGGCGAAGGCGGCUGUCUGGUCUGCAACUGACGCUGAGGCUCGAAAGCAUGGGUAGCGAACAGG
RNAcentral lists this ribosomal RNA (253 nucleotides) under uncultured Oscillospira sp. RNAcentral describes it as "partial 16S ribosomal RNA". It matches the Rfam family "Bacterial small subunit ribosomal RNA", at positions 524 to 776 of the family's 1533-position model. Lineage: Bacteria; Bacillati; Bacillota; Clostridia; Eubacteriales; Oscillospiraceae. The record is from RNAcentral.